Molecule: long non-coding RNA, 301 nt
Organism: Zeugodacus cucurbitae (melon fly)
Lineage: Eukaryota; Metazoa; Arthropoda; Insecta; Diptera; Tephritidae
Exons: 2
Source: RefSeq, a predicted model, not a curated record
GCAUAUAAAAUGCACAAUAAGGGAUCUGUUUCCCAGUAUCAGUGCAUCACAGCUUUACACAGUUACUAAAGAACCUGCAACAAAAUAUCGAAUAAUAAUGCAGAAGCAAAUGUUGGUUUUGCUUAUAGCCGUGUUGGCUAUUCAGUUCGUAGCUGCGCAAUUUCCUAUUGGUAGGGGAGCCCCACCACCACCAGUAGGCCAUUGGGGCUGAAUUUGUUGAACAAUUUGAAAGAAAAUUUAAAGUGCAAUGUAAUUGUAAUAAUAAAAUGCAAAAUAAACGUUUAGAGUAUUGCUAACUGAA